UAAGGAAUAUUGGACAAUGGGGGCAACCCUGAUCCAGCCAUCCCGCGUGCAGGAAGACGGCCCUAUGGGUUGUAAACUGCUUUUAUUAGGGAAGAACAGCAUCAAUGUAUUGGUGUAUGACGGUACCUAAAGAAUAAGCACCGGCUAACUCCGUGCCAGCAGCCGCGGUAAUACGGAGGGUGCAAGCGUUAUCCGGAAUCACUGGGUUUAAAGGGUGCGUAGGUGGAAUAAUAAGUCAGGCGUGAAAGGUUACAGCUUAACUGUAGACUUGCGUUUGAUACUGUUAUUCUUGAAUUAAGAUGAGGUUGGCAGAAUGCGACAUGUAGCGGUGAAAUGCAUAGAUAUGUCGUAGAAUACCGAUUGCGAAGGCAGCCAACCGGACUUAAAUUGACACUGAGGCACGAAAGCGUGGGGAGCGAACA
RNAcentral lists this ribosomal RNA (422 nucleotides) under uncultured bacterium. RNAcentral describes it as "bacterial SSU rRNA". It matches the Rfam family "Bacterial small subunit ribosomal RNA", at positions 355 to 774 of the family's 1533-position model. The record is from RNAcentral.